CCCUUAGAUGUUCUGGGCCGCACGCGUGCUACACUGAGUGGAUCAGCGGGUCAGGUUGCGCGAAAGUGUUUCCUAAUCUUUAAAUCCGCUCGUGAUGGGGAUUGACGGUUGCAAUUUUCCGUCAUGAACGAGGAAUACCUUGUAAGCGCGGGUCAUCAUCCCGCGCUGAAUACGUCCCUGCCCUUUGUACGCACCGCCCGUCGCUCCUACCGAUUGAAUGGCUUAGUGAGCUCUAGGGACUGUUGCCUCGUGUUGGGUUUCCAGCACUAGGACGACGGGAACUAGAUCAAACUUGAUCAUUUAGAGGAAGUAAAAGUCGUAACA
Molecule: ribosomal RNA, 324 nt
Filed under: uncultured eukaryote
Lineage: Eukaryota
Description: partial 18S ribosomal RNA
Rfam family: Eukaryotic small subunit ribosomal RNA
Source: RNAcentral